GAUGAAGAACGUAGCGAAAUGCGAUACGUAAUGUGAAUUGCAAAUUCAGUGAAUCAUCGAGUCUUUGAACGCACAUUGCGCCCCCUGGUAUUCCGGGGGGCAUGCCUGUCCGAGCGUCAUUGCUGCCCUCAAGCACGGCUUGUGUGUUGGGCCCCGUCCUCCGAUCCCGGGGGACGGGCCCGAAAGGCAGCGGCGGCACCGCGUCCGGUCCUCGAGCGUAUGGGGCUUUGUCACCUGCUCUGUAGGCCCGGCCGGCGCUUGCCGAUCAACCCAAAUUUUUAUCCAGGUUGACCUCGGAUCAGGUAGGGAUACCCGCUGAACUUAAGCAUAUCAAUAAGCGGAGGA
This 345-nucleotide unclassified non-coding RNA is filed under the name soil metagenome. RNAcentral describes it as "partial contains 5.8S ribosomal RNA, internal transcribed spacer 2, and large subunit ribosomal RNA". The stretch from base 1 to 119 matches the Rfam family "5.8S ribosomal RNA", at positions 35 to 154 of the family's 154-position model. The record is from RNAcentral.